CCUACGGGAGGCAGCAGUAGGGAAUAUUGCUCAAUGGGGGAAACCCUGAAGCAGCAACGCCGCGUGGAGGAUGAAGGUUUUCGGAGUGUAAACUCCUUUUGUUAGAGAAGAGAAUGACGGUAUCUAACGAAUAAGCACCGGCCAACUCCGUGCCAGCAGCCGCGGUAACACGGAGGGCGCAAGCGUUACUCGGAAUCACUGGGCGUAAAGAGCGCGUAGGCGGGAUGGCAAGUCAGAUGUGAAAUCCUAUGGCUUAACCGUAGAACUGCAUUUGAAACUGUUAGUCUAGAGUAUGGGAGAGGUAGGUGGAAUUCUUGGUGUAGAGGUGAAAUCCGUAGAGAUCAAGAGGAAUACUCAUUGCGAAGGCGACCUGCUAGAACAUAACUGACGCUGAUGCGCGAAAGCGUGGGGAGCAAACAGGAUUAGAUACCCGUGUAGUC
This 440-nucleotide ribosomal RNA is filed under the name uncultured bacterium. RNAcentral's name for it is "partial 16S ribosomal RNA". It matches the Rfam family "Bacterial small subunit ribosomal RNA", at positions 338 to 795 of the family's 1533-position model. The record is from RNAcentral.